UAAGCAUAUCAAUAAGCGGAGGAAAAGAAACCAACAGGGAUUGCCCUAGUAACGGCGAGUGAAGCGGCAACAGCUCAAAUUUGAAAUCUGGCCCUAGCGGUCCGAGUUGUAAUUUGUAGAGGAUGCUUUUGGUUAGGUGCCUUCUGAGUUCCCUGGAACGGGACGCCAGAGAGGGUGAGAGCCCCGUACGGUUGGACACCGAGCCUCUAUAUAGCUCCUUCGACGAGUCGAGUAGUUUGGGAAUGCUGCUCUAAAUGGGAGGUAAAUUUCUUCUAAAGCUAAAUACCGGCCAGAGACCGAUAGCGCACAAGUAGAGUGAUCGAAAGAUGAAAAGUACUUUGAAAAGAGGGUUAAAUAGCACGUGAAAUUGUUGAAAGGGAAGCGUUUGCGACCAGACUUUUUCCAGGCGGAUCAUCCGGUGUUCUCACCGGUGCACUUCGCCUGGUUUAGGCCAGCAUCGGUUCCCUUAGGGGGAUAAAGGCCUGGGGAACGUAGCUCCUUCGGGAGUGUUAUAGCCCCUAGCGUAAUACCCUUCGGGGGACCGAGGAACGCGCAUCUGCAAGGAUGCUGGCGUAAUGGUCGUCAA
Molecule: ribosomal RNA, 586 nt
Filed under: Daldinia childiae
Lineage: Eukaryota; Fungi; Ascomycota; Sordariomycetes; Xylariales; Hypoxylaceae
Description: eukaryotic LSU rRNA
Rfam family: Eukaryotic large subunit ribosomal RNA
Source: RNAcentral